AUACGGAGGGUGCGAGCGUUAAUCGGAAUUACUGGGCGUAAAGCGCGCGUAGGCGGUUUGUUAAGUCGGAUGUGAAAUCCCCGGGCUCAACCUGGGACCUGCAUCCGAUACUGGCAGGCUAGAGUCUGGUAGAGGGGGGUAGAAUUCCUGGUGUAGCGGUGAAAUGCGUAGAUAUCAGGUGGAAUACCAGUGGCGAAGGCGGCCCCCUGGACUGAGACUGACGCUGAGGUGCGAAAGCGUGGGGAGCAAACAGGAUUAGAUACCCUAGUAGUCC
Molecule: ribosomal RNA, 274 nt
Filed under: uncultured bacterium
Lineage: Bacteria
Description: partial 16S ribosomal RNA
Rfam family: Bacterial small subunit ribosomal RNA
Source: RNAcentral